GGAAGAAAUGUUGGGCUACAUGUCAACAAUUGUAACUACUUAGUGUAAAGGAUGGUCUUGAAAUUAUAUAUAGAGAAUCCUGUAUGAAGAGACUACACUGAACUCCUAAAAGAGUGAAGAAGACAGCUCAUCAGCAAACGAGCAAUCUAAGUGACCAGGUGAGGAUUCAGGAACAGGUAGAGAAGAAAAAGGACGCAUGCAGGCAUAAAUAGUCACAUAGCAUUUGUACUCCAGUGAAGAGCCUCUAGAGAAAAGCAAACAUGGAACAUUUCCUUGGGAGGGCAAAGCUGGCAUCACUGAGACCUUCAGAAUAUCCUCAGCUGACAACUCUAUGAAACCUGACGCUUUUCUCUGGAUUAUUCUGAAGACUGAAUAAAUUCUAACCACUUCAAAAGUGUUUGUAUAGGCACUCAUAGCCAUUGGAGGGAAGGAAGAGUGCAGCUGCCAUUACAAUUCCCAUCAAUCUGCAGGGUGAGGAGAUGAGAGAAAUUUCAAUGCCUGAGACAGACAAGCUGUCAUUUGGAAAAUUCUGUGAAGUGUUAGAAAUGGAUGAAUCCAAGAGCAAUGAAAACCUGAAGAUCCCUAUUGCAAGAGCCUUUAUAAUUUUCAUUAGAAAAUAGAAAUAUCUUUGACAUUUCUGUCAUGGAGAAGAUUAUCUGACACACAGAAUAAAUAAAUAAAUAAAUAACA
This 690-nucleotide long non-coding RNA is filed under the name Coturnix japonica (Japanese quail). RNAcentral's name for it is "lncRNA (ENSCJPG00005017154.1)". The record is from RNAcentral. Lineage: Eukaryota; Metazoa; Chordata; Aves; Galliformes; Phasianidae.